This 288-nucleotide unclassified non-coding RNA is filed under the name plant metagenome. RNAcentral's name for it is "partial contains small subunit ribosomal RNA, internal transcribed spacer 1, and 5.8S ribosomal RNA". The stretch from base 1 to 53 matches the Rfam family "Eukaryotic small subunit ribosomal RNA", at positions 1778 to 1831 of the family's 1831-position model. The record is from RNAcentral.
GGAAGUAAAGUCGUAACAAGGUUUCCGUAGGUGAACCUGCGGAAGGAUCAUUAUCGUACAAAAUGUGAGGGGCAUGCGAGGGCUGUCGCUGACCCAAAAGUCGUGCACGCCCGAGUGUGUCCUCUUGCAUAAUAAUCCAUCUCACCCUUUGUGCAUCACCGCGUGGGCACCCUUCGGGAUCAUCUCGGAGGGAGGCUCGCGUUUUCACGCAAACCCCCCUUUUAAAAGUGUAGAAUGACCACAUUUAUGCAAUCAAUACAACUUUCAACAACGGAUCUCUUGGCUCUC